Molecule: ribosomal RNA, 445 nt
Filed under: uncultured bacterium
Lineage: Bacteria
Description: partial 16S ribosomal RNA
Rfam family: Bacterial small subunit ribosomal RNA
Source: RNAcentral
UCCAGACUCCUACGGGAGGCAGCAGUGGGGAAUAUUGCACAAUGGGGGGAACCCUGAUGCAGCGACGCCGCGUGGGUGAAGGAGCACCUCGGUGCGUAAAGCCCUAUCGGCAGGGAAGAAACAGACGGUACCUGACUAAGAAGCCCCGGCUAACUACGUGCCAGCAGCCGCGGUAAUACGUAGGGGGCAAGCGUUAUCCGGAUUCACUGGGUGUAAAGGGAGCGUAGACGGCGACGCAAGUCUGGAGUGAAAGCCCGCGGCUCAACUGCGGAACGGCUUUGGAAACUGAGUAACUGGAGUACUGGAGAGGCAAGCGGAAUUCCUAGUGUAGCGGUGAAAUGCGUAGAUAUUAGGAGGAACACCAGUGGCGAAGGCGGCUUGCUGGACAGAGACUGACGUUGAGGCUCGAAAGCGUGGGGAGCAAACAGGAUUAGAUACCCGAGUA